AAGGAAAAGGCAGCAGGCGCGUAAAUUACCCAAUCUUGACACAAGGAGGUAGUGACAAUAAAUAACAAUGCCGGGCCUUCAAGGUCUGGCAAUUGGAAUGAGAACAAUUUAAACCCCUUAUCGAGGAUCAAUUGGAGGGCAAGUCUGGUGCCAGCAGCCGCGGUAAUUCCAGCUCCAAUAGCGUAUAUUAAAGUUGUUGCAGUUAAAAAGCUCGUAGUUGGAUUUGUGGUGGUCCCUGUGGUCCGAUUUCGGUACUUUUGGGGACUGCCAUCCUUGGGUGGAUCUUGUGUGGCAUUAGGUUGUCGUGCAGGGGAUGCCCAUCGUUUACUGUGAAAAAAUUAGAGUGUUCAAAGCAGGCUUAUGCCGUUGAAUAUAUUAGCAUGGAAUAAUAAGAUAGGACCUUGGUACUAUUUUGUUGGUUUGCGCACCGAGGUAAUGAUUAAUAGGGACAGUUGUGGGUAUUCGUAUUCCAUUGUCAGAGGUGAAAUUCUUGGAUUUCUGGAAGACGAACUAAUGCGAAAGCAUUUACCAAGGAUGUUUUCAUUAAUCAAGAACGAAAGUUAGGGGAUCGAAGAUGAUUAGAUACCAUCGUAGUCUUAACCAUAAACUAUGCCGACAAGGGAUUGGCGGGGUUUCGUUUCGUCUCCGUCAGCACCUUAUGAGAAAUCACAAGUUUUUGGGUUCCGGGGGGAGUAUGGUCGCAA
RNAcentral lists this ribosomal RNA (704 nucleotides) under Halamphora dominici. RNAcentral's name for it is "SSU rRNA". It matches the Rfam family "Eukaryotic small subunit ribosomal RNA", at positions 418 to 1134 of the family's 1831-position model. The record is from RNAcentral. Lineage: Eukaryota; Bacillariophyta; Bacillariophyceae; Naviculales; Amphipleuraceae.